UCCAGACUCCUACGGGAGGCAGCAGUGAGGAAUAUUGGUCAAUGGGCUUACGCCUGAACCAGCCAAGUCGCGUGAGGGAAGACUGCCCUAUGGGUUGUAAACCUCUUUUGUCAGGGAGCAAUUGGCGCUACGUGUAGCGUUAUCGAGAGUACCUGAAGAAAAAGCAUCGGCUAACUCCGUGCCAGCAGCCGCGGUAAUACGUAGGGGGCAAGCGUUAUCCGGAUUUACUGGGUGUAAAGGGAGCGUAGGCGGCCAUGCAAGUCAGAAGUGAAAACCCGGGGCUCAACCCUGGGAGUGCUUUUGAAACUGUGCGGCUAGAGUGUCGGAGGGGCAAGUGGAAUUCCUAGUGUAGCGGUGAAAUGCGUAGAUAUUAGGAGGAACACCAGUGGCGAAGGCGGCUUACUGGACGAUGACUGACGCUGAGGCUCGAAAGCGUGGGGAGCAAACAGGAUUAGAUACCCCCGUAACU
This 469-nucleotide ribosomal RNA is filed under the name uncultured bacterium. Its description in RNAcentral is "partial 16S ribosomal RNA". It matches the Rfam family "Bacterial small subunit ribosomal RNA", at positions 330 to 795 of the family's 1533-position model. The record is from RNAcentral.